This 283-nucleotide unclassified non-coding RNA is filed under the name air metagenome. RNAcentral describes it as "partial contains small subunit ribosomal RNA, internal transcribed spacer 1, and 5.8S ribosomal RNA". The stretch from base 1 to 46 matches the Rfam family "Eukaryotic small subunit ribosomal RNA", at positions 1786 to 1831 of the family's 1831-position model. The record is from RNAcentral.
AAGUCGUAACAAGGUUUCCGUAGGUGAACCUGCGGAAGGAUCAUUAACAGAGAGGAACACGCGUCCUCGGGGGCUUCGGCCCCUUCUCUUCACCCUGUGCCUACCUACCCUGAUUGCUUUGGCGUGCCGGGGGCUCAGCCUUGAUCGGUCGGUGGCAGGUCUUGAAAAGGAACGCUCCGGCGGAUCGUGCUCGUCAAACGCCCAUUAAAUUCUGUUUUAGCAGUGUUGUCCGAGUCAAACACAAUGGUUUUAAAAACUUUCAACAACGGAUCUCUUGGUUCUG